ACUCCUACGGGAGGCAGCAGUGGGGAAUAUUGCACAAUGGGGGAAACCCUGAUGCAGCCAUGCCGCGUGUGUGAAGAAGGCCUUCGGGUUGUAAAGCACUUUCAGUAGGGAGGAAGGUAGUGUAGUUAACACCUGCAUUAUUUGACGUUACCUACAGAAGAAGCACCGGCUAACUCCGUGCCAGCAGCCGCGGUAAUACGGAGGGUGCGAGCGUUAAUCGGAAUUACUGGGCGUAAAGCGCAUGCAGGCGGCCUGUUAAGUCAGAUGUGAAAGCCCGGGGCUUAACCUCGGAAUUGCAUUUGAAACUGGCAGGCUAGAGUCUUGUAGAGGGGUUAGAAUUUCAGGUGUAGCGGUGAAAUGCGUAGAGAUCUGAAGGAAUACCAGUGGCGAAGGCGGCCCCUGGACAAAGACUGACGCUCAGAUGCGAAAGCGUGGGAGCAAACAGGAUUAGAUACCCCUGGUAGCGACUGA
RNAcentral lists this ribosomal RNA (471 nucleotides) under uncultured bacterium. Its description in RNAcentral is "bacterial SSU rRNA". It matches the Rfam family "Bacterial small subunit ribosomal RNA", at positions 335 to 803 of the family's 1533-position model. The record is from RNAcentral.